Molecule: unclassified non-coding RNA, 263 nt
Filed under: plant metagenome
Description: partial contains small subunit ribosomal RNA, internal transcribed spacer 1, and 5.8S ribosomal RNA
Source: RNAcentral
UUUCCGUAGGUAAGCCUGCGGAAGGAUCAUUAUUGUAUAACCGAGGUGCGAGGGCUGUCGCUGACCCGAAAGGUCGUGCACGCCCGAGUGCCCUCACACACAUCCAUCUCACCCCUAUGUGCACCACCGCGUGGGUCCCCCUUUGGCUUGUUCGGAGGGGGGCUUACGUUUUCACACAAACUUUGUAUGCAGUGUAGAAUGUAUUUUUUGUUUUUGCGAUCACGCAAUCAAUACAACUUUCAACAACGGAUCUCUUGGCUCUC